CGUUAAAACUGAGGCCGCGGGGAGUCCCUGGAAGGAUCAUUACUGUGAUUUAGUACUACACUGCGUGAGCGGAACGAAAACAACAACACCUAAAAAUGUGGAAUAUAGCAUAUAGUCGACAAGAGAAAUCUACGAAAAACAAACAAAACUUUCAACAACGGAUCUCUUGGUUCUCGCAUCGAUGAAGAGCGCAGCGAAAUGCGAUACCUAGUGUGAAUUGCAGCCAUCGUGAAUCAUCGAGUUCUUGAACGCACAUUGCGCCCCUCGGCAUUCCGGGGGGCAUGCCUGUUUGAGCGUCGUUUCCAUCUUGCGCGUGCGCAGAGUUGGGGGAGCGGAGCGGACGACGUGUAAAGAGCGUCGGAGCUGCGACUCGCCUGAAAGGGAGCGAAGCUGGCCGAGCGAACUAGACUUUUUUUCAGGGACGCUUGGCGGCCGAGAGCGAGUGUUGCGAGACAACAAAAAGCUCGACCUCAAAUCAGGUAGGAAUACCCGCUGAACUUAAGCAUAUCAAUAGAGGGAAGGGAAGGAUCAUUACUGUGAUUUAGUACUACACUGCGUGAGCGGAACGAAAACAACACACCUAAAAAGGUGGAAUAUAGCAUAAUAGUCACAAGAAGAAAUCUUCGAAAA
Molecule: ribosomal RNA, 630 nt
Filed under: Pichia kudriavzevii
Lineage: Eukaryota; Fungi; Ascomycota; Pichiomycetes; Pichiales; Pichiaceae
Description: eukaryotic LSU rRNA
Rfam family: 5.8S ribosomal RNA (bases 147-299)
Source: RNAcentral